AGAACAGUCUGUUCUUGGCAUCAUGUCUCAGUUCUGACAGUCAUAAAGUGAACAGAGGAUUGGAAGAAAAGGGGAUUCAUGCCGGUGACACCUGAAGCACCGGGUGAGCCAUGCAAAGCUUUUCGUCACCAUAUGGAAAAUCUCUACUGCAGCUGCACAGCCCUGGGCCAAAACUUUCAUCCUUCCAGAUACCGUGACAGAGGUCAUGUUUCCAGGAAACCCCAUUUGUACUUUCACACGCAAAAAUGAAACUUCUGUGAUGCAAUAUCUGGACAUGAAUCUGCUCCCUGUGGUGUUGCUCUGCUUGUUCUGCUGCUGCCUGAUCAUCACUGGAUCAACACUGCCACUUGGUGGCCAGAAAUCUCAACCCUCUGGUAGACAGGAUAGAGAAUUCACGCUGCUCCGUCUAUCUUCUCUACCAUGUCUACAGUUUACUUCCCAGUGUCGCUGGACAUCAACAUUAGAAACUAUUCACACAUUCUUGAUAAAACAUACAUAUUUCUCUGCAUUUGAUUGUCUAAAGAAAUUAACUCUGACAUUUCGUUUUCCCUCUGAGGUCCUCUGUUCUGUUGAUUUAAAGCAGUUUUAGCAGUGAGUGUUGCUGUGUUUUACUGCAUAUCCAGUCAUUAUGAAGCUAAUAAAGUAAAUCCACUUUAUGUUAUUUCAUGUAAUCAUUCUCACUAACAGGAGCUGUUGGAGAACCUUUAAAAACAUUUGAAAUAUGAAGUGAUUGUGAGCAUUUAUGACAUGCUACCACCAGCAACUUGAUCCAGUUAACUAACUUGAAAACUUGACCUUUCUGCUUUUGUCUUCCUAUACUGCAAUUUUUAAAAAUUAAAGGGUAAAUCUGGAAAUACAGUAUACAAUCAGCAAGACAUGAAUCAGUUACCGGUAAUAAGGGAAAACCUACAAAGGUUUUAAAACUGCUAAAAUUUUCCAUCAUACAAUUUUUGCCUGUUUGAAGACAACGAAAGAGAUACCAGAGAAAGUGAUUAAGUGUCCAGGGUUUCCUCUGGCUGUGUGAUGCAUAAAGUAAUGCAGCUCUGGCCCUCCCCCACUUUUUGCUGCACACUGCUGGUCAGCUGGCCGAAAGAAGGCAA
This is a long non-coding RNA of Girardinichthys multiradiatus, 1100 nucleotides long. RefSeq lists it as uncharacterized. Lineage: Eukaryota; Metazoa; Chordata; Actinopteri; Cyprinodontiformes; Goodeidae. The transcript is spliced from 3 exons. The record is from RefSeq and is a predicted model, not a curated record.